AGCGAACGCUGGCGGCAGGCCUAACACAUGCAAGUCGAGCGCCCCGCAAGGGGAGCGGCAGACGGGAGAGUAACACGUGGGAACGUACCCUUUGGUUCGGAACAACCCAGGGAAACUUGGGCUAAUACCGAAUAAGCCCUUACGGGGAAAGAUUUAUCGCCGAAGGAUCGGCCCGCGUCUGAUUAGCUAGUUGGUGAGGUAACGGCUCACCAAGGCGACGAUCAGUAGCUGGUCUGAGAGGAUGAUCAGCCUCACUGGGACUGAGACACGGCCCAGACUCCUACGGGAGGCAGCAGUGGGGAAUAUUGGACAAUGGGCGCAAGCCUGAUCCAGCCAUGCCGCGUGGGUGAUGAAGGCCCUAGGGUUGUAAAGCCCUUUCGGCGGGGAAGAUAAUGACGGUACCCGCAGAAGAAGCCCCGGCUAACUUCGUGCCAGCAGCCGCGGUAAUACGAAGGGGGCUAGCGUUGCUCGGAAUCACUGGGCGUAAAGCGCACGUAGGCGGAUUGCUAAGUCAGGGGUGAAAUCCUGGAGCUCAACUCCAGAACUGCCUUUGAUACUGGCGACCUUGAGUCCGGGAGAGGUGAGUGGAACUGCGAGUGUAGAGGUGAAAUUCGUAGAUAUUCGCAAGAACACCAGUGGCGAAGGCGGCUCACUGGCCCGGUACUGACGCUGAGGUG
RNAcentral lists this ribosomal RNA (677 nucleotides) under uncultured Hyphomicrobiales bacterium. Its description in RNAcentral is "bacterial SSU rRNA". It matches the Rfam family "Bacterial small subunit ribosomal RNA", at positions 28 to 753 of the family's 1533-position model. Lineage: Bacteria; Pseudomonadati; Pseudomonadota; Alphaproteobacteria; Hyphomicrobiales. The record is from RNAcentral.